Aegilops tauschii subsp. strangulata is the source of this 228-nucleotide small nucleolar RNA. RefSeq annotates it as small nucleolar RNA U3. NCBI's taxonomy places the organism in Eukaryota, Viridiplantae, Streptophyta, Magnoliopsida, Poales, Poaceae. The record is from RefSeq and is a predicted model, not a curated record.
ACGACCUUACUUGAACAGGAUUUGUUUUAUAGGCUCGUACCGCUGUAUCCUUUACCAAUAAGGAGGCAAGCACUUCAGUUUGGUUGAUGCAUUCUGAGCUCUGGGUGCGCCACUAGAAUAUUUUAGUAAUGGCGCAUCAUUAAUAACUGGUAUAAGUGCGCCAUUAGUAGCAUUUAAAAAAAAAAGAAAUCGUUUUUUUCUUAAUCUCAGGUCACUAUUUCACAUAUG